Molecule: ribosomal RNA, 253 nt
Filed under: uncultured bacterium
Lineage: Bacteria
Description: partial 16S ribosomal RNA
Rfam family: Bacterial small subunit ribosomal RNA
Source: RNAcentral
UACGUAGGGUGCGAGCGUUGUCCGGAAUUAUUGGGCGUAAAGAGCUUGUAGGCGGUCUGUCGCGUCUGCUGUGAAAAUCCGGGGCUCAACCCCGGACUUGCAGUGGGUACGGGCAGACUAGAGUGUGGUAGGGGAGACUGGAAUUCCUGGUGUAGCGGUGAAAUGCGCAGAUAUCAGGAGGAACACCGAUGGCGAAGGCAGGUCUCUGGGACGUGACUGACGCUGAGACGCGAAAGCGUGGGGAGCGAACAGG